UCAGUACUUGGAUGGGUGACCGCCUGGGA
RNAcentral lists this small RNA (29 nucleotides) under Bombyx mori (domestic silkworm). RNAcentral's name for it is "ovarian small RNA-25770". Lineage: Eukaryota; Metazoa; Arthropoda; Insecta; Lepidoptera; Bombycidae. The record is from RNAcentral.